This 1096-nucleotide ribosomal RNA is filed under the name Aphis aurantii (black citrus aphid). Its description in RNAcentral is "partial 16S large subunit ribosomal RNA". The record is from RNAcentral. Lineage: Eukaryota; Metazoa; Arthropoda; Insecta; Hemiptera; Aphididae.
UUUUUUAUAAAAAUAAUUUAUUUAUUUAAAGUUUUAGUAUUAAUUAAAAAUUAAUUUAUAGAUUUAUAGUUUAAUAGUAUUGUGAAAGAAAUAAUUAAAUUUAAAAAAGAAUUAUUUUAGUACCUUUUGUAUCAGGGUUGAUUAAAAUUUUUAAUUUUUUUUUAAAUUCUCAAAAUUUAUAGAGUUAAUUUUAUUAUUAAUUUAUUGUGUUAUAAAUAUUUAUAAAAUAAUAUUAGUUUUGAAAUUUAAUUCGUUAUAUUAUAUUUAGUUAUUUAAGAUUUAAAUUUAAUUUAAAAUUUUAAAAGUUAUAUUGAUUUUAUUAAUUAAUAUUUUAAAUUUAAAUUAUUUUAGGGAUAAGCUUGAAAUUUUUAUAUAAUAAUUUAUUUAUUUUAAUAAUUUAUAGGAAUAGAAAUUUUUAUUUAAGUUUGUAAAAAUUUAUUAUUUAUUUAAUUUUAAUUUAUUAUAAAUUAUUUAUUUUUUAUAUUAAAUUUUAUUAAUUAAUAUUUAAUUAAUAGUAAUAAUGAUUAAAUUAGUAUAAUUUAAAUUUAUAAAUUAUGAAUUCGGCAAAAAUUAUUUUCAUCUGUUUAACAAAAACAUCGUAUUAAGUUUGAUUUAAUAUAGGAUCUGCUCAAUGAUUUAUUAAAUAGCUGCAGUAUUUUGACUGUGCAAAGGUAGCAUAAUAAUUAGUCUUUUAAUUGAGGACUUGAAUGAAAGAUUUGAUGAGAAAUAAACUUUAUUAUUUAUAAAAUUAAAAUUUUAUUUUUAAGUAAAAAAGCUUAAAUUAUUUAAAGGGACGAUAAGACCCUAUAAAACUUUAUAAAUUUUAGUUUAAAUUUUUUUUGGUUUAUAAAUAUUUUUUUAUUAAAAUUUAUUUUAUUGGGGUGAUAAAAAAAAUUAUUAAACUUUUUUUAAAUUUUAACAUUAUUUAAUGAUUAUUUGAAUUAAAAUUUUUAAUUAAAGGAAAAAGUUACUUUAGGGAUAACAGCGUAAUUAAUUUUUUAAGUUCAAAUUUGAAAAUUAGUUUGCGACCUCGAUGUUGAAUUAAGAUUAAUCUUAGGUGCAAAAUUUUAAGUGUUAGGUCUGUUCGACCUUUAAA